RNAcentral lists this long non-coding RNA (403 nucleotides) under Sus scrofa (pig). RNAcentral describes it as "lncRNA (ENSSSCG00065074446.1)". The record is from RNAcentral. Lineage: Eukaryota; Metazoa; Chordata; Mammalia; Artiodactyla; Suidae.
UGGAAUCUCUGAAGACCCCCCCAAACAAGAUGCCUCAUUAAUAAUUGAAAUUUUGAAAUAAGAAAAUUAUGCCUGCACUGGGGCCACAACUUCCUCUUUUCUGUUUAUCUUCUCCGCAAAGACAUCAGUCUACUUGUCCCACAAGCAUUUGCAUCAUGAAAGUUGCUCUUUAAACAUAAUUCAAGUCCUGAAGAAUACUGGGAAGAACAGCCUCUGAAAUUCACAUCUGGGACAAGCUGGAGAAAAAAUUCAUAAAGAAGAAAAUCCUGGUAACUUCCCAAUGUUCUACUUUUCCUGUCUCUGGCUUCCUUUUUUCGUUCCACCAAUGUUGUCAGCUUUUAAUUCUUUGGGGAGAAGAAUAAAAGAGAUGGGAAAAGGCCACAGAACGAUACUAAAAGAUGCC